This is a long non-coding RNA of Helianthus annuus (common sunflower), 1792 nucleotides long. RefSeq lists it as uncharacterized. NCBI's taxonomy places the organism in Eukaryota, Viridiplantae, Streptophyta, Magnoliopsida, Asterales, Asteraceae. The transcript is spliced from 3 exons. The record is from RefSeq and is a predicted model, not a curated record.
UCUUCCUCAGUUUCAUUCCAUCCCACGUCACCGGUAAUAACCACUUCAAUAGCUUCUCUAUUCAUUUACAAAAUACUACCGUAAGAGGAGAAGUUCCAAUCGGUCACUACCACCACCAAGCCAAUCAUCUCCACCUCUCAAUCUACCGUCCCUGUCGCUCAAUCAACCAGCUAUCAUUUGGUAACUGGAUCAUGUUAAUUGGGCGUAUUUUCAACACAUACGGACCUUGGAUGUGUCUAGAUGAUGGCCAUAUAGUUAGCAACUUUGUUUCUCAGGUCAUCCGUAAACAACCAAUGGCAAUUAUGGUGAUGGAUAACAAAAUUGAAGCUUUCAAUACAUCCCCGACUUGGUAAUGGCUAAUGGACUGGUGGUAUUGGUGAAAGGUGAUCUGGCGGGUUUUUCAGUUUAGGCAAUCCUGGAUAGUUUACCAUGUUAGAGUUUGCUCAGGUUUGUCUUUCAAUAACUUUUAAUUGAAUUUACUAGAGUUGGCAUAUUCGACCACUUGUUUUCUAAAUAAUGGGUCAAUUUGGGUUAUUCAUAAAUCAUAACCUCGAACAAGUCAGAAAGGAUGGGUUAAAUGGGCUAAACGUAUUGAAAGUCACUUCAAACCAUCUUCCCCUAGCUGUUGAAGACAAGGUACAUCUGAACUUUUAAUGAUGGCUGCAGAUGCCGAACCUCUUGAAAUUCUUCUCCAUCUUCUCUUACUUGCUGAAGAUAAGGUAUACUCUUACCUGGGUGGGUCAGGCUGGUUGGGUAACGGGAAUAGUUUCAGGUCCAAAGCGGGUCGGGUUGUGUUGGAAGAGCAAAUUACCAAGAAAGUUAAAUUAGUUUACGAAAUUAUAUAUUUGUAUGUUCCCAUUAAAAUUAACUCUUUUUAUGGGUUUAUCUUGACCAUUCAAAGUGCUUAACUUUUAAUCCUGACUUUUUAGAAUCAAAAUUUUCUUCAAAGUUAACUCUUUUUGUGGGUUUAUCUUGACCAUUCAAAGUGCUUAACUUUUAAUCCUGACUUUUUAAAAUCAAAAUUUUCUUCUAGAAGCUGCAGUUUUGAUGGAGGUUUCGCGGACUCUCCUGCAAUCACGCAGUUAGCGACGGUUUCUAUUCUCCCAUCCCCUCAUUCUCCUUUUCUUCGUCUUGGCAUUCUCAAAUUUUCUUCUUUAAUGGUAUUCGAUCCUUUCUUCUCUCUCAUGUAGUAUCGGGUCUCUGUUCAGGUAUGUUUCAAUUUUGGUUGAAUAAAAGGUUUUUUUUUUCAUCAAUUAAUACUUUUUGCUUGCGUAUUUAUCAUUGUUAUGGGAUUUUCCCUAAAUUAAGGAGUUUUUAUUGAUCAUUUUUUUUGUGUUGAUUUGCAUAUGUAUGGUUUUAUUUUUGAGUUAUGUGAUAUCAGUUGCCAUUAAUGAUGUCUCUGAGGCCUAGGGCAUGGACUGAUGUCCGCCAGAACCGUUACAAUAUGGUUGCCCUUCAUAAUCAUCGACAAUUAUUUAAAACUUGAAAGGGUUACCGUUGGAAGGAUCUGAAUAAAAGUCAAUUUUUGGGCAUUAUUGUGAGAUGCCGGUAGGAUAUGUGAAGUUACCGCUAGGAAUUGCUGGACCGUUGUUGUUGAACAGUUAUGAGUAUAUGGUGCCUAUGACGACUACCGAUAAGUGUUUGGUUGCGAGUGCGAAUAGAGGUUGUAUGUAACAUCCUGCAUUUUGAUACUCAUUUUAUCUUAGCAAGUCUUAAUCAUACUUCCUAUCCUGUGAUACUUGUACACUCGAGAUGAUUGAUCAUAAUGGAAAUGAGACUUUUUUAAUCUUAA